This 250-nucleotide ribosomal RNA is filed under the name Salmonella enterica. Its description in RNAcentral is "partial 23S ribosomal RNA". It matches the Rfam family "Bacterial large subunit ribosomal RNA", at positions 1 to 251 of the family's 2925-position model. Lineage: Bacteria; Pseudomonadati; Pseudomonadota; Gammaproteobacteria; Enterobacterales; Enterobacteriaceae. RNAcentral also lists the same sequence under 2 other names. The record is from RNAcentral.
GGUUAAGCGACUAAGCGUACACGGUGGAUGCCCUGGCAGUCAGAGGCGAUGAAGGACGUGCUAAUCUGCGAUAAGCGCCGGUAAGGUGAUAUGAACCGUUAUAACCGGCGAUUUCCGAAUGGGGAAACCCAGUGUGACUCGUCACACUAUCAUUAACUGAAUCCAUAGGUUAAUGAGGCGAACCGGGGGAACUGAAACAUCUAAGUACCCCGAGGAAAAGAAAUCAACCGAGAUUCCCCCAGUAGCGGCG